RNAcentral lists this ribosomal RNA (433 nucleotides) under uncultured bacterium. Its description in RNAcentral is "partial 16S ribosomal RNA". It matches the Rfam family "Bacterial small subunit ribosomal RNA", at positions 29 to 507 of the family's 1533-position model. The record is from RNAcentral.
AAUGAACGCUGGCGGCAUGCCUAACACAUGCAAGUCGAACGAAGGCUUCGGCCUUAGUGGCGCACGGGUGCGUAACGCGUGGGAAUCUGCCCUUGGGUUCGGAAUAACAGUUAGAAAUGACUGCUAAUACCGGAUGAUGUCGUAAGACCAAAGAUUUAUCGCCCAAGGAUGAGCCCGCGUAGGAUUAGCUGGUUGGUGGGGUAAAGGCCUACCAAGGCGACGAUCCUUAGCUGGUCUGAGAGGAUGAUCAGCCACACUGGGACUGAGACACGGCCCAGACUCCUACGGGAGGCAGCAGUGGGGAAUAUUGGACAAUGGGCGAAAGCCUGAUCCAGCAAUGCCGCGUGAGUGAUGAAGGCCUUAGGGUUGUAAAGCUCUUUUACCCGGGAUGAUAAUGACAGUACCGGGAGAAUAAGCUCCGGCUAACUUCGUG